This 923-nucleotide ribosomal RNA is filed under the name uncultured bacterium. RNAcentral's name for it is "bacterial SSU rRNA". It matches the Rfam family "Bacterial small subunit ribosomal RNA", at positions 475 to 1399 of the family's 1533-position model. The record is from RNAcentral.
GUAGCCAAGGAGGAAGCCCCGGCUAACUACGUGCCAGCAGCCGCGGUAAUACGUAGGGGGCGAGCGUUGUCCGGAUUUACUGGGCGUAAAGGGUGAGUAGGCGGUAAUAUAUGUCAGGUGUAAAAGGUCAUGGCUUAACCAUGGUUAGCACUUGAAACUGUAUGACUUGAGUGCAGGAGAGGUAAGCGGAAUUCCUAGUGUAGCGGUGAAAUGCGUAGAUAUUAGGAGGAACACCAGUGGCGAAGGCGGCUUACUGGACUGUAACUGACGCUGAGUCACGAAAGCGUGGGUAGCAAACAGGAUUAGAUACCCUGGUAGUCCACGCUGUAAACGAUGAGUGCUAGGUGUUGGGUAGCGAUACUCAGUGCCGAAGUAAACACAAUAAGCACUCCGCCUGGGGAGUACGUACGCAAGUAUAAAACUCAAAGGAAUUGACGGGGACCCGCACAAGCAGCGGAGCAUGUGGUUUAAUUCGAAGCAACGCGAAGAACCUUACCAAGGCUUGACAUCCCCUUGACCGGUGCAGAGAUGUACCCACUUCUUCGGAAGCAAGGGAGACAGGUGGUGCAUGGUUGUCGUCAGCUCGUGUCGUGAGAUGUUGGGUUAAGUCCCGCAACGAGCGCAACCCUUAUCCUUAGUUGCCAUCAAGUUAAGUUGGGCACUCUAAGGAGACUGCCGGUGAUAAACCGGAGGAAGGUGGGGAUGACGUCAAAUCAUCAUGCCCCUUAUGUCUUGGGCUACACACGUGCUACAAUGGUCGGCACAACGGGGAGCGAAGGAGCGAUCCCAAGCAAAUCCCAAUAAACCGAUCCCAGUUCGGAUUGCAGGCUGCAACUCGCCUGCAUGAAGUCGGAGUUGCUAGUAAUCGCGAAUCAGAACGUCGCGGUGAAUGCGUUCCCGGGUCUUGUACACAGCGCCCGUCA